UCAAAACGGGCUUAUAAAUUGACCUGAUAUCUUUACGGUCCUUGAUGUAAACGAAAGAGUUAUAAAGUAAACGAAACAAGAUCUAGUGCUUUAAACUGAAAUAGGAAAGAAAACUGCAAUCAUAUCCAGUUCAUCACGGUGCCGCAUCGUACUUUCUGGUCGAUACACGUUUAAUAUGAUCGAAGAAACGACCGUAUGUGUAAUCACAACAAUGAGCAAUCGUUCAAUGCCAGCGUUACAAUAACCAACGAUGCGGAGCGGACGAUAAUCAAAUUGGAUCGACAUUUCUCCAUCAUAGUGGAAUUCCAUUUGCACAACAAGUAACGUGUGAAUAGCUGUUGCUCGGAAUCUUGCCAUUUCGAAAGUGUCGGGCCUGCUGGGUCUUAUUCCGUUCGCUUUCGAUUGCCACAUGACGCUAACUACGGAGUCCGUAGUACGGACUUAGCACAAAACGAAGAAAGGCUCAUCAAGUGAGUGUAGGCCAUUUACGUCCCUACGGACGAUCUAGCCAAACCGGCUCUGGCUAACACAACUGCUUACAUCGACAGCAACGCUUUCGCGUGCCAUAGUCAGGCUGGACAUCUACCCGGAUGUCGAUUCGCUUGAUUCUUACGCGCGUUCCAUAUAACCGAACAAUAACGGCGCUGUUCCUAAAGUUUUCCAUGGCAGGAAUACAACUCACUCCAGAACAUCAUAGCUGUCCUGAUAAUGAAUGAGCACCAGCAAGAUGCUGAGCGGUGUGCUCGACAAUUUGCAUGAGGUUUUCGUCUACAUGUUCGGUUCGAUUUAACAAAUCGCCCAAAAGGCGAUGUGUCUGGCCAAAAGGCGAAGGAUGCUGUGUAAGAUCAACUCGGUCAACUUCAAACGAAGAAAAGAGAAUUUCGCCGGUAAUCACAGCGCCGUUUGCUUAAGAUGAGAAGCAUCUAGGAGGAAAUCCUUUCAAAUUUUCCUCAAAGCCCUUUGAAUGGAAUCUUGCUUCAGCUACAAAUCAUAUGUGUUAGUUGUAAGUGGAACAGAGCGGAAAGGGAGAGCCGCCAAGUUUGAUCCGACAUAACAUCAAUGUAGAUAUAGUGUUUAAGUUUUGUUUUGUGUUUAUUUCCUCAUCCAAAAUUAAUCAAAUAUUAGUUAAGCUCGACUGUGGCUUCAAUUAUAUGUAUUUCAUCUCAAUUCGUAUCGUAUGAUUCCUCAGUUUUUUUUUUUUACAACGGGUUUUAUUUUCUAAAUCUCCAAAACCCUCUCUCGCUCCUACAUUUAUACCCGAGAGGACUUUACCUCGACUUCCGUCUCGGAUGCCGCUACUUUUUUGGCAAGACUUAAACCACAAUCCGUGGAUACUGCGGGAGAGUCUUCGUCGUCGAUUGACGCUUCACGAUACGGUCCGUCUGCGUUGUCCCCGGUUGCUCGACCGUCUUCGUCAUCGUCCUCUACGCUUCAACUUCGCGACCGGUUUGCUUCCCUGAGAAAACGAAGGUUCUGUCUUCUCUCCCUAAACCGUACCUGUUGAAGCGCAGCGCGACAGCAGCGUUCGGCUCGACGCUCUUCCCGUUGGCGUACUAAUGCUGCUCGCCGGUUGGUGUAGUUUGUGUUUGUGGCUGUUUGUGAGUUCAAAAUAUUGCAAUGAAGUAGAUGACAAAUAUCGUUUGCAGCAAUAAACUUUGCACGUGCAUUACUUACACAGUUCAUUUUUAUGAGUGUUGCUCCGGGAGGCAGAUUGCUGGAAAUUUACGAAUCAUGCAACCAGCCAGCAUUACAGUUUGCUGCUUCUGUAACUACACUUCCUGCAUUUGAGCAGAACCUGACAAAGCGUUCCCGUUUGGCGAACGCUUCAAUUUCUCGAAGGAAAAUUUCCAUUUUAAAUCACGAGCUGUGCUCCAAUAAACUAAAAUAUUCACUCAAAUUGAUCUUCACCAAAUAUUGCAAAA
This is a long non-coding RNA of Anopheles gambiae (African malaria mosquito), 1922 nucleotides long. RefSeq lists it as uncharacterized. NCBI's taxonomy places the organism in Eukaryota, Metazoa, Arthropoda, Insecta, Diptera, Culicidae. The record is from RefSeq and is a predicted model, not a curated record. The transcript has 2 exons.